GCGCAGGCCCGGCCCUGGGACGAGGCUGUUUACGCCAUUUUGGUGUAGGUUCUGGUCAGUGUAGUGGUGAGCGGCGUGAAUCCAAGCCAUCUCUGUAUGUGGGUGACUAAGAGGAUUAUAUAUUAGUGUAACCAUGAGUACUAACGCCAACAACACCAGCAAGGUGUCAACGACGGAUAGAGUCAUCAAAAGUGUGCCAUUCCCGCCGUCACACAAGUUAAAAUGUCCGGAAGUGUUCGACGCGAAGACAGGGAAGCCAAAGUUCGAGUGGCUCAAGAACCACUUCAUCCUGGAGGGGCGCAUCGACGAGGCCGCAGCUCUCCGCAUCAUCAACGAGGGCGCCGCUCUCCUACGCCAGGAGAAGACCAUGAUCGAUAUUGAGGCGCCCGUCACAGUGUGCGGUGACAUCCACGGCCAGUUCUAUGACCUCAUGAAGCUGUUCGAGGUCGGAGGUCCACCUAGCUGUACCAAAUAUCUCUUCUUAGGCGACUAUGUAGACAGGGGCUACUUUAGUAUAGAGUGUGUGCUAUAUCUAUGGGCCCUAAAGAUAUGCUACCCUAACACCUUAUUUCUAUUAAGAGGGAACCACGAGUGUAGGCAUUUAACAGAAUACUUCACAUUUAAGCAAGAAUGUAAGAUCAAGUACAGCGAGCGGGUGUAUGAUGCGUGCAUGGAGGCCUUCGAUUGCCUCCCGCUGGCCGCCCUCAUGAACCACCAGUUCCUCUGCGUGCACGGCGGCCUGUCCCCUGAGCUGCACACCCUCGACGACAUCAGGAAACUGGAUAGGUUCAAGGAGCCACCUGCUUUUGGACCCAUGUGUGACAUCCUGUGGUCUGACCCGCUAGAGGACUUUGGCAAUGAGAAAAAUGCGGAACACUUCUCACACAAUUCUGUACGAGGUUGUUCAUAUUUCUAUAGCUAUGCAGCUUGCUGUGACUUCUUACAAACCAACAAUCUCCUGUCCAUAAUCAGAGCUCAUGAAGCUCAAGAUGCAGGGUAUCGUAUGUAUCGUAAAAGCCAAACAACAGGAUUUCCCUCCCUUAUUACAAUAUUUUCUGCUCCAAAUUACCUGGACGUGUACAACAACAAGGCUGCCGUUUUGAAAUAUGAAAAUAAUGUGAUGAACAUCCGACAGUUCAACUGCUCCCCUCACCCUUACUGGCUGCCAAACUUUAUGGAUGUGUUCACCUGGUCACUACCAUUUGUUGGAGAGAAGGUGACGGAGAUGCUGGUAAACGUGCUCAACAUCUGCUCUGACGACGAGCUCACGGAUGGUGAUGAGCCCAUUGAUGAAGCAACAACAGUGCUAAUUGUGCCGGAGAAAGGAGCCAUGCGGAAGGAGGUCAUCCGAAACAAGAUUCGUGCUAUUGGCAAGAUGGCUCGUGUAUUCUCAGUCCUAAGAGAGGAAAGUGAGAGUGUGCUACAGCUGAAGGGCCUCACGCCUACUGGUGCUCUCCCACUUGGAGCCUUGUCUGGAGGAAAGGCAUCUCUUAAAAAUGCUAUGGCUGGCUUCUCUCCUAACCACAAGAUCACAUCCUUUGCGGAGGCCAAGGGUCUGGACGCCAUGAAUGAGCGCAUGCCCCCCAGGAAGGAUGCCCCUGCCAUCCCUCAGCCUGUGGCGUCAUCACCGUCAGCUGCGGACGAAGCAGAAAAAUCCAAUUCCUCCAACACAGCACCCAACACCCACUUGUGAAACCCACAGCCUCAGCUCUGUUAAUGAUGUGAAUGGCCAGAGGAAUGAUGACACCUGUCCACACUGAGCAAGGAUGUUCAGCCAACUCUUGCAUUUCCCCAUGGAGUGCAGAAAGUGUUGGUAUGGUGUAUGAAUGUAGGUGAUGAACUGUCAACAUCUUGCUGAUCUCAAGUAUGCAGUGAGCCGGUGGGGUGAGGCUGUCUGGCCAGGUCUUGGUUGUGAUGCAAGUAUUGCCUCAGCCCCUGGUGGGCCCCACUGGCCAGCCAACCUCACUAGGCAUCCUGCUAUGCUGUUUCUGUUGCUGCUGCUGUUGGCCAAGACUGGGUUAGGCCAGGUCGCAGCCCGUAAGGGUCCAUCAGUGCUGCCACCACAGAGGGUGCAAGGAAACGUGGCAGAUGCGGCCUGGCCGGCCCCAGGUCACCAGCACCAAGCUGCUGCUGCUAUAGACUAAUGACCCGGUCACCUAACCCUCUCCAGUGUCCUCCUCCAGUACACUGUCAGACUACACCCUCUGUGUUGCCUACACUGUUGGAUUUCUGUUACAUCCUCCCUUCCCAUUGUGUUGGUGAUGUAGACCAGGACUCAUGAGUGUUGUCAAGGAGCCAUCACAGCUGCCAUAAUGGUAAGCACCUGCCAAGCUCCAGCCAGCCAGUGGUGGGACAGGUGUUAACACAGUGGUGUGAAAUGUGACUGUGUGAACCCUCCAGCAAAGCCAUAAUGACCAGGAGUCACCAGCUGCAGUGUCUGUCCAGGUUGUGUCACAUGACUAACAAUUUAAUGUUUAAAAGAAACAUUACUCACAUUAUCUAAGUGAACCUGUUUAUAAAUUGACAAAAUCAUGUAAAUAGUUUCUUUAUUAUUGUGUAUAGCAUGCUUGAAUAUUUAAAAGACUGUCGUACAGCCUCUCUAACUUGUCCCUUCCCUUCCUCUGUAGCAAGACAGCAGCCUGUGUAUUGGUCCAAUGGACUGUUGGCAAGCUUUUUCCUAAAUAUCUGCCAUCAAUGUGACACUUAAGGAUGCAAUACAUUUUGGCCUGUGUGCAAUAUAUCCUCAUUCUCAUCUAGAUUUCCAAAUUCUCUUAGGUUAGAAUGGUAGCUUGUCAUCUUUUGAUCAUUGUUCUGUUGCUCCUCAAAUGUAAUUUCUAUAAGUUUAAUACCAUUUAGCAUUAAGCCAUACUCUGCAGAGGGAGUGGUGUACAUGUAGCAGAAAAACCUGUUUUCAGGGCUAUAAAUCCUCAUGUAAUUCAGUCCCUCUGACAUUACCAUUACAUGUUAAUGAUGAUCCUGUUGCUUAUUGACGUUUUCUUCUCGAUGGUAAUUUUCAUACAUGCAACUGUUUUUGUCAUGUGAGAUAGUAGGAUUCAUAUUUAUCAAUUCUGCCAUAUUAAAUGUUAUAUAAAAAUAACUACUACUAAUAAGUCGUGUUUAAAACAAAUUUUAUGCCUUUUUCCAAACCAAAGUGUCCUAGUCAUAUUUCUCGAGUGGAAACAAGGCACCGAGGCCCAGCCAGUAAGUUGUUGAGCCUGACAGAGCCCCAACUCCAAGCUUCCCUCUCCCAUCCAUGCCCCUCAAAGGACUCUGGGCCCUGCCCACUCUGUGCUGGGAUCCAUCAGCCAUCACAUGUCAAGUUUACCUGUGUUGUAAGUGUUGACAAGAAAACAAAACCUCUAAAAGAAAUGUGUACAUUUAAACAUCUUGUUAAACACUCUCACUCAUUUUUCACUCUAAAACUUUGAUGGUUGGUGUACAUUUUGAACAUGCAAGUAGCCCUAAACUUUUUUCUCUAGUAGCUCAUUAAAUCCUUGAGAAAUAUGUGAAUGUGCGUUGAAAGUGGUUAUUAUGCUAUGUUAAUAUUUAUUACUAUAGGCAAAUAAACAAUUUGAAUAUUUUGAUUGUGAGAUAAAUGUUGAUUGAUUCAAACUGAUAUAAAUAUAUUAUUUUCUUGUGGAAUAGGAUCUAAGUUUUACUCUUGUUACCUUGUUCAUCAAUACAUCUUUUAGAAAGUGUCAAAUGUUGUAUAUGACAAAUAUAACCUUUCAUAUUGUUUUUACAACUUGAAGUUUAUGUUCUGUUGUCAGUCUGCAGCAUAAGCUCCUUCAAGUCCAGCUUUUCAAGGCCAGAAUGUUCAGGCUGUAGCAGGAAGCUGGUGUUACUGUUGGAUAGUAAACUAGUGUGUGUGUGUGUGUGUGUGUGUAUGUGUGUGUGUGUUCGUGCGUGCGUGUGUAUGCACACUCGUGUGCAUUGUGUCCUCUACCAGUGGGUCAUAAUAACAAAACUAAAUUUAAGUCAGUAAUUUAAGACAUAUCUGGAAGCAGUUCGUCAAACAAUUUUCAAUGCUGUUUAUUUAAAAAAGGACAAGGUUUUUACCGAUGAAAAAUGCUGGACUGAGAAAAUUAUAUGUUUAUUAUCCGUGGACUUGUGUAUUAAAAUUCAAACAUGCACAUAUGAUAUUUACUUAUAAAAAGAAAUGGUGGAAUGAAUCAGGAUAACCAGGUAUGGUCUUGAAGUAACUGUUAUCUGAGCUAAGUGAGUAAAUGUCCAGCAUAUUACCGAUCAAAGCAAAGAUUAUUUGUCAUGUGUUAGUUAUAGAUUCUUUUCCAUAAUUUUAAAGAACAGUUAGAGGUUUAAUAUAUUCUGAAUUGUUUCAUAAGAUGGGAUUUGUACAUAUAUUAGUUUCAAAAGCAAAAUUUUAUACUAAAAUUGUUGCAAUGAUUCUGAUAUCUCAUGAAAACACUACAUGCAUGAAAUCACUGGUUGCAUAAUGAGCAUAACACUGCAGUACCAAGGUUAUAGAAUCAAUUAUACACUGAUGUCCACCCUGUGUAGUUUCUUGAUGCACUAAAGUUUUCCAUAAAGUAUUAACCAUUAACCAGAGCCCAGGUACAGGUCAGACUGACUUUGAUCCGUGAAACUGAUCGCAAAAGAGUUGAGGUAAAGCCGCUGUGGUCAGAGACCUCUCCCCAGCACCUAAGUGACACCCAGAGUUGGUGGUACAAGUCCCAACAGCACCAGCAUUCAGCACCCCUGGACAAAUGGCCUUGACCCUUUGCUACAGGUCAGUCAGUGAGAAGCACCUGUCUGCUUUCUCAUACAGUGUACAGAACAACCUGUUAUCCCUCGUGUAAACAUCUGUAAGAGAUGAUAAUGAUGAUAAUAAUAAUAAUAAAUAAUAAUAAUAAUAAUAAUAAUAGUAAGACAUUAAUAAUUAUAAAACUUCUCACAUGUUAAUCAAUAACUAAUCCUAAGUCAUAAUCAUGACCUGUAUCAGUGUGUGUUACAAACUACAAGCCUUUGUGCUACUGUUUUAUACUUCUCAGCAUCUCUGCCUUUGUGGUGUACUGUAACAUAAUUAGUUAUAUAUAGCCAUGUUUAUUCUUUUGUUUAACUGUUCCGAUUCAAAAAGAUAAUUAUGACUGGACGUUUGCAUUGUUUCGACAUUGAGAUUCUAAAUAAAUUCUAAGAAUCUUUA
RNAcentral lists this unclassified non-coding RNA (5161 nucleotides) under Portunus trituberculatus (swimming crab). Its description in RNAcentral is "serine/threonine-protein phosphatase 2B catalytic subunit 3-like, transcript variant X4". Lineage: Eukaryota; Metazoa; Arthropoda; Malacostraca; Decapoda; Portunidae. The record is from RNAcentral.